This 269-nucleotide ribosomal RNA is filed under the name uncultured bacterium. Its description in RNAcentral is "partial 16S ribosomal RNA". It matches the Rfam family "Bacterial small subunit ribosomal RNA", at positions 524 to 792 of the family's 1533-position model. The record is from RNAcentral.
UACGUAGGGUGCGAGCGUUGUCCGGAAUUAUUGGGCGUAAAGGGCUCGUAGGCGGUUUGUCGCGUCGGGAGUGAAAACAUCCAGCUUAACUGGGUGCUUGCUUUCGAUACGGGCAGACUUGAGGUAUGCAGGGGAGAAUGGAAUUCCUGGUGUAGCGGUGAAAUGCGCAGAUAUCAGGAGGAACACCGGUGGCGAAGGCGGUUCUCUGGGCAUUACCUGACGCUGAGGAGCGAAAGUGUGGGGAGCGAACAGGAUUAGAAACCCCGGUA